UCCCACCCGUUUCCAUCGCCAGAAGCGUUCCCCUCUCCCCCAAAUCUCCCAUGGCGCCGUUCUCAAUCCCGCGCACCUCCCCGCCGUCGACUCCUCCCCCUGGCCGCGAUGCUCCGUCAUUCCGCCGCAGAGGGCUUGCGCAUGCCGCCAAGUGGCUAGCGCCUCCAAGGGGGCAGCUUUUCCCCGCCUGACCAGAAGCUGCCGACGGCGACCCCGGCUCCAAGGCGUUCCGGCGAGGCCGCCCCCCGUCCCCGGUGACCGCGGAUCGCCAACGACCGGCCGCUUAUCCCCUGGAUUCGGCGACUUCUGCCUCCGUCAGCAACCUGCUCUUGCGCGUCGGAGCAUGGGACGGCAGCGGCGGCCAUCGCGGUUCUGCCGACCGGGUCGGCGUCUGAGUCUGCCGCGUCGGUGCAGCUACCCUGACCAGAAGGACGCCGUCGAGCAGCUGGUUGCUUUCUGCCUAGGUCAGCCCUUCCUCCUCCUAUGCUAGGUCUUCAAUUUCUGCUCUGCAACAAGAACGCGUUGAUGCACUGCUCACGCCCUUGUCAAUGUCUUGUGCUGCGACAUGCUGUAUCGAGGUCUGCUGGUCUGCUGCUGGCUGCUUCCGGCGACAACCUACCGUAGCUGCUGCUGUCGGCGGCCACCACUCCAACCCGCCCCUGCCUGCCACUUCCCCCAACCAGCUGCUGCCCGGCUCAAAGCAUAUUGGAGGAGCGGUAGCUGAAGGGUGCAAAUCGGUGGCGAACGCCAUCGGCGACAUCUACAAGCGCAAAGGGUAGUCGCUCCAGGGGCUACGAGGUCUUCAGCGCCACUCCUGCAAGUUGAUCUUCUCCGAGACCAUCGCCUGCCAGGAUGUCGCCCCAAGGAACAACGCAGUGACGCCACUGUUGGUGUUAAGGAGAUUGCCGGCAUUGGCAUCAGAAGGUCUAAAUUUUUGUUGAUACUAGUAGCCUUUGACGCGUGUGUCUAGUCAGUGAUUGAUGGUGGGAAGAGCAUGGAAGAGGCUGUGCAGGAUGAGGUUUGAUGUGAUGUAGGGUGUUUCAAGUGUUGCAAAAUUUGGUCGCACACAGAAGCUUGUGAGAGCAUGUAGUAUACUCCUUAAUUAAUUUGCGCAAGUGUAUUGUAGUAUUGCAUCAAAGGUGUUGUUAUUUGGUGUAUGAUAUAGAAGUCGAUCGAGAUGGAGUUAAGCGGAGAAGGUUGAAACA
This is a long non-coding RNA of Lolium perenne, 1205 nucleotides long. RefSeq lists it as uncharacterized. Lineage: Eukaryota; Viridiplantae; Streptophyta; Magnoliopsida; Poales; Poaceae. The record is from RefSeq and is a predicted model, not a curated record.